UUUCCGUAGGUGAACCUGCGGAAGGAUCACUAGUGAUUAAAUCGAGAGCGUCUUCAUUGACCUCUCACCCUUCACAUCCACAUACACCUGUGCACCGUUUGGCUCUUUUAAAAGACGCAAGUCUGCAAAGAGAGUCAUCAAUUUUAUACAUACCCCAGUCUUAUGAAUGUAACAGUUUUAAUAAACAUAAUAAAACUUUUAACAACGGAUCUCUUGGUUCUCGCAUCGAUGAAGAACGCAGCGAAAUGCGAUAAGUAAUGUGAAUUGCAGAAUUCAGUGAAUCAUCGAAUCUUUGAACGCACCUUGCGCUCCUUGGUAUUCCGAGGAGCAUGCCUGUUUGAGUGUCAUGAAACUCUCAACCUUCAACUUUUUUAUUAAGGCUGAAGGCUUGGACUUGAGCGCUGCUGGUUUUUACUAACCGGCUCGCUUGAAAUGAAUUAGCAGAUCCUUUUUGUAAUCGGUUCCACUCGACGUGAUAAGUAUUUCGCCGAGGACAUACGAAAGUAUGGCCGAGAUAAGGAAAGUCUUUAGAUCCGCUUCUAAUUCUUAGAUCAAGCUUGCUUGACUAAACCCCAUUUUAUGAUCUGGCCUCAAAUCAGGUAGGACUACCCGCUGAACUUAASCAUAU
RNAcentral lists this ribosomal RNA (628 nucleotides) under uncultured fungus. Its description in RNAcentral is "eukaryotic LSU rRNA". The stretch from base 194 to 347 matches the Rfam family "5.8S ribosomal RNA". Lineage: Eukaryota; Fungi. The record is from RNAcentral.